RNAcentral lists this ribosomal RNA (540 nucleotides) under uncultured marine gamma proteobacterium AY-84. RNAcentral's name for it is "bacterial SSU rRNA". It matches the Rfam family "Bacterial small subunit ribosomal RNA", at positions 355 to 887 of the family's 1533-position model. The record is from RNAcentral. Lineage: Bacteria; Pseudomonadati; Pseudomonadota; Gammaproteobacteria; Alteromonadales; Alteromonadaceae.
UGGGGAAUAUUGCACAAUGGGGGAAACCCUGAUGCAGCCAUGCCGCGUGUGUGAAGAAGGCCUUCGGGUUGUAAAGCACUUUCAGUUGUGAGGAAAAGUUAGUAGUUAAUACCUGCUAGCCGUGACGUUAACAACAGAAGAAGCACCGGCUAACUCCGUGCCAGCAGCCGCGGUAAUACGGAGGGUGCGAGCGUUAAUCGGAAUUACUGGGCGUAAAGCGCACGCAGGCGGUUUGUUAAGCUAGAUGUGAAAGCCCCGGGCUCAACCUGGGAUGGUCAUUUAGAACUGGCAGACUAGAGUCUUGGAGAGGGGAGUGGAAUUCCAGGUGUAGCGGUGAAAUGCGUAGAUAUCUGGAGGAACAUCAGUGGCGAAGGCGACUCCCUGGCCAAAGACUGACGCUCAUGUGCGAAAGUGUGGGUAGCGAACAGGAUUAGAUACCCUGGUAGUCCACACCGUAAACGCUGUCUACUAGCUGUUUGUGACUUUAAGUCGUGAGUAGCGAAGCUAACGCGAUAAGUAGACCGCCUGGGGAGUACGGCC